UACAGAGGUCCCAAGCGUUGUUCGGAAUCAUUGGGCGUAAAGGGCGCGUAGGUGGUUCUGUAUGUCUACCGUGAAAGCGUACGGCUCAACCGUAUUUUGUCGGUGGAAACUGCAGGACUUGAGGCUGGGAGGGGCUGGUGGAAUUCCCUGUGUAGCGGUGAAAUGCGUAGAGAUGGGGGAGAACACUCGUGGCGAAGGCGGCCAGCUAGACCAGUUCUGACACUGAGGCGCGACAGCGUGGGGAGCAAACAGG
RNAcentral lists this ribosomal RNA (253 nucleotides) under uncultured bacterium. RNAcentral's name for it is "partial 16S ribosomal RNA". It matches the Rfam family "Bacterial small subunit ribosomal RNA", at positions 524 to 776 of the family's 1533-position model. The record is from RNAcentral.